UACGAAGGGGGCUAGCGUUGUUCGGAAUUACUGGGCGUAAAGGGCGCGUAGGCGGUCCUUCAAGUCAGGCGUGAAAGCCCCGGGCUCAACCUGGGAACCGCGCUUGAGACUGGCGGACUCGAGUUCGGGAGAGGAUGGUGGAAUUCCCAGUGUAGAGGUGAAAUUCGUAGAUAUUGGGAAGAACACCGAUGGCGAAGGCAGCCAUCUGGACCGACACUGACGCUGAGGCGCGAAAGCGUGGGGAGCAAACAGG
This 253-nucleotide ribosomal RNA is filed under the name uncultured bacterium. RNAcentral's name for it is "partial 16S ribosomal RNA". It matches the Rfam family "Bacterial small subunit ribosomal RNA", at positions 524 to 776 of the family's 1533-position model. The record is from RNAcentral.